This 74-nucleotide transfer RNA is filed under the name Spirochaetes bacterium GWB1_36_13. Its description in RNAcentral is "tRNA-Glu". It matches the Rfam family "tRNA". Rfam says of the family: Transfer RNA (tRNA) molecules are approximately 80 nucleotides in length. Their secondary structure includes four short double-helical elements and three loops (D, anti-codon, and T loops). Lineage: Bacteria; Pseudomonadati; Spirochaetota. The record is from RNAcentral.
GCUCCCAUCGUCUAGCUCGGUCAGGACAUCGGGUUUUCAUCCCGGUAACAGGGGUUCAAAUCCCCUUGGGAGUA